RNAcentral lists this unclassified non-coding RNA (217 nucleotides) under fungal sp. RNAcentral describes it as "partial internal transcribed spacer region". The stretch from base 1 to 46 matches the Rfam family "Eukaryotic small subunit ribosomal RNA", at positions 1786 to 1831 of the family's 1831-position model. The record is from RNAcentral. Lineage: Eukaryota; Fungi. RNAcentral also lists the same sequence under 1 other name.
AAGUCGUAACAAGGUUUCCGUAGGUGAACCUGCGGAAGGAUCAUUUCCGAACAAAAUUUCUUAUCAACCAACCAUGUGAAAAGUAAUUGGCUUUACUGUGACCUAGUCACAGGCCUUGAUGAACACAACUUUAAAUAGUUUGAUCUGAUAUCGUUUUUGUUUUCAACAACAAAAAACAAUACAAUGAUAACUUUUAACGGUGGAUCUCUUGGCUCGU